CUACGGGGCGCUGCAGUGGGGAAUAUUGCGCAAUGGGGGAAACCCUGACGCAGUGACGCCGUGUGAGUGAUGAAGGUUUUCGGAUCGUAAAGCUCUGUCAGAUGGGAAGAAUAAAGACAGAAAAAAUAUUUCUGCCUGAUGACGGUACCAUCAGAGGAAGCACCGGCUAACUCCGUGCCAGCAGCCGCGGUAAUACGGAGGGUGCAAACGUUGUUCGGAAUUACUGGGCGUAAAGCGCAUGUAGGCGGAUAUGUAGGUCAGAUGUGAAAGCCCUUGGCUCAACCAAGGAAGUGCAUCUGAAACCACAUAUCUUGAGUAUGACAGAGGGAAGUGGAAUUCCAAGUGUAGAGGUGAAAUUCAUAGAUAUUUGGAAGAACACCGGUGGCGAAGGCGGCUUUCUGGGUCAUAACUGACGCUGAGAUGCGAAAGCGUGGGUAGCAAACAGGAUUAGAUACCCCUGUAGUC
This 465-nucleotide ribosomal RNA is filed under the name uncultured bacterium. Its description in RNAcentral is "partial 16S ribosomal RNA". It matches the Rfam family "Bacterial small subunit ribosomal RNA", at positions 339 to 795 of the family's 1533-position model. The record is from RNAcentral.